RNAcentral lists this transfer RNA (71 nucleotides) under Marmota monax (woodchuck). RNAcentral's name for it is "tRNA.Ala". Lineage: Eukaryota; Metazoa; Chordata; Mammalia; Rodentia; Sciuridae. The record is from RNAcentral.
GGUGUGUAGCUCAGUGGUAGAUGCUUUCCUAGCAUGCAGGAGGCCCUGGGUUUGAUCCCCAGCACCAACCA